UACGUAGGGACCAAGCGUUGUUCGGAUUUACUGGGCGUAAAGGGCGCGUAGGCGGCAAUUCAAGUCAUCUGUGAAAUCUCCGGGCUUAACUCGGAACGGUCAGGUGAUACUGCUUUGCUAGAGUGCGGAAGGGGCAAUCGGAAUUCUUGGUGUAGCGGUGAAAUGCGUAGAUAUCAAGAGGAACACCUGAGGUGAAGACGGGUUGCUGGGCCGACACUGACGCUGACAGCGCGAAAGCCAGGGGAGCGAACGGG
This 254-nucleotide ribosomal RNA is filed under the name uncultured bacterium. RNAcentral describes it as "partial 16S ribosomal RNA". It matches the Rfam family "Bacterial small subunit ribosomal RNA", at positions 524 to 776 of the family's 1533-position model. The record is from RNAcentral.